Molecule: long non-coding RNA, 3988 nt
Organism: Anguilla rostrata (American eel)
Lineage: Eukaryota; Metazoa; Chordata; Actinopteri; Anguilliformes; Anguillidae
Exons: 4
Source: RefSeq, a predicted model, not a curated record
GAGAGUUAAUUUUACACAGUUACUGCAGCUCGGCUUCUGAGAGUUUCCAUGGCGAUUAGUCUUUAUGAGGUCUGAUUGGGAGUCGGUCCAGUAAAGCUCACAGAAGCCGCCUGUAGUCUCCGCUCCCCCAGAUCUGUGAGGGACCCACAUCUGGAGGAAAAAAAGCCAGAUCGAGGCUGCGAGCUGAGACCCCCCCCAGACCCCCCCAGAACCCCCACCCCCCGCAUCACCCCCGGGAGGGAAGUCUACAGCCCUCGUUUCAGGAGUUAAAUAUAGAAACAGCCGCCGCUCCACAGCUAGCGAUUAGCAUUCCCCUGCAGCACCGUCAGCGGUCCUCAAACUGCUGGGUUUAUUGUGCAGUUUGUUUCCUGUGAAGUCCCUGCAGCUCAGUGCAGGUUUGUGCUGGGAGACUCGUGCUUUCUCCUGAGGUUGACUCUGCUUGUGUUGCUGUUGUGCUGCUGCAGCCACCUUGUUCAGGGUGCUCUCUUUUAAAGGCUGCAGAGACCCAGCUCUGCCCAGCUCAGAUGCAGGUUCUUGUAAGGUUACCUGGCGUCGCUGUGGGGCAGAAUUAGCUCAGCCUGUGCGUGAUUCCGUGUGUGGCCUCUGGAGGGCAGCAGAGGGCUCCAUUGAAUGGAAACGCCAGGGUCUGUGCUGCGCUCUCCAGGUGCACUGUUGCUGUCUCUCCAAAGUGUUUCCCGGUAGAUUCUACUCUCUGCCUGAUCCAGGAUCAGUUUAUCCAGCCCAAACCGCAUCUCCCGCCUUCAUGCGCGACCUCCCAGGCUGCCCUGGGACCAGCACUUGAGGUCAGGCUUGGUCAUGUGACACCCUCACUUCCGCAUCUAGUAACCUUCCCUCAACGUUGCCGCAGGGACGUUGCCGUGACGCCGCAGGGACGUUGCCGUGACGCCGCAGGGACGUUGCCGUGACGCCGCAGGGAUGUUGCCGUGACGCCGCAGGGACGUUGCCGUGACGCUGCAGGGACGUUGCCGUGACGCCCCAGGAACACGGUGUUUUCGCCAGGCGAAGCUGAGGGCAGCAGGCAGGCCCGCUCACGCCCACCUGGGCCUUUCCCAGAUUUGAUUUAUCACAGUUACACAAGAAUGAGACACAGAGACACCAAACAUGAAAUCUAAAUACAAAAGGAGGAAAAUGGGAAUAUGGCUGUGACGGUGGGGGGGAUUAGACUGGGGGCUGGGAAAGGGUUAACAUGAUGUAAUAGUGUUGCUAUGGAGCAUGGAGUAAAAGAUUUCACAAAAACACUGUCUUAAAAAAUGGGGAGGUAGAGAGAGAGAGAGAGAGUGGGGGAGAGAGAGAGAUUUAAAGAAGAAAGCCUGGAGCUGAAGCAGCUUCGGUGCUCCAUGGGGGGGGGGGGUUCGCUGAGCGGGCGGCGCCACCGUUCACGUGCUUCUGCUGAGUGUGUGUGUGUGUGUGUGUGUGAGUGUGUGAGUGUGUGUGUGUGUGCGUGCGUGCGUGCGUGCGUGCGUGCGUGCGUGCGUGCGUGCGUGCGUGCGUGCGUGUGCGUGCGCGUGUGCAUGCGUGCUUCUGCUGAGUGUGCGUGCGUGCGUGCGUGCGUGCGUGCGUGCGUGGGGUAUGGGGGGGUAUCACUCAAGCUGUGUGUUCCCGACCCCCUAAAUAUAAACGGGUGUCACUGCUGCCAUUUUGGGGGGGAAAAAAAAACACCUUAAACACUUUAUCCAAACUUUAAUUCUCAGUAGCAGCAACAGAACAAAAGUUAUUCAACACCCUUAAGUUUUGAACCUGAAUUUUAUUCAGUCCUGGAGUUAAACAUGACCUGGACCAUCCAAGAGACAAAAAUAUGCAUAUGGAUGUGUGUGCGUAUGUGUGUGUGUGUUUUUGUGAAUGUGACAUUAAGCUGUCAGAAUGUACUCCAAUUGUACUUUAAUUAAAUUAACAGAUAGAUGCCUUCUGGUGCUAUUUAUUAACAAUGAAAAGUUUUUGAAUCAUUAGGAACCUCAAUGAAUAUUUGUGACAUGCAUCAAAUAGACAAAAUGUGAAAAUACACUGAAAUGGGGUGGGGGGGGUGCAGGCUUCCAAACUAUUCCACACGAACACAAACCACCCAGAGCUGAGAGAGAUGUCCCAGCGAAGCAGGCAGGAGUCUCUAAUCACUCCUUCAGAUUUCAGCCCAAAACCAUGAGCUACUCCUGCAGGAAUGAGCCCAUCUCCACAGCCCGCAUUCACCCCCUCUACACACACUCUUAUACGAGUGAGUUACAGGAAACAGCCUAUAGCGGGGUUACACACAUCGUGGACACACAUUUUAUGCAGUCCCACUGCAGUUAGCUCUCUGCCCAGCCGCACUGAUAGAGCUAAGUAGCGCCACAGGGCUAGCUGAAUCUCAACACGUUCUUUAUCUCCUGGAGGGACGAGAGUCUGCGUUCAUCUGGUUUAUUUUGACAGGGAUAAAUGUUUGUGUUUAUUGCAAAAGUAACAUUGCAUUUGACAUUUUAACCAGGUCCGUCCCAGGUGCGUCCCAGGUGCGUCCCAGGUGUGUCCCAGGUGUGUCCCAGGUCCGUCCCAGGUGCGUCCCAGGUGCGUCCCAGGUCUGUCCCAGGUCUGUCCCAGAGUCGGGCGAGCUGAAGGUUUACUCUCAGCUCUGGGGUGCUGUGUACCAUCAGUCUCCCAGCUGGGACAUGGAGCAGACCCAAACAGGUGACCUCAUGCAAAUACAUUACCCUGCACCCUUCAGGCUGCCCGGGACGUCCAGCGGAGGAUGGGGGCAGAGGUAGCUGAACGGCUGGUCUAACCUGGGCACCUGCAGUUCCUGACAGCCGCUCACACAGGCCAAACCCAGGGUGAAAACCCUGCGGACCCAAACCUUACCUCCCUGGGCAUCACUCUGGGGCUGCAGGCUACCGUCAGCUUACUACACCCAACCGUGAGCCUCAUAACAAACUCUGACAACCCGUUUGAGCUUUAGAACCCUGACUUUUAGAAUCCCAGGCUUUAGAACCCUGACCUUUAGAAUCCCGGGCUUUAGAACCCUGACUUUUAGAAUCCCAGGCUUUAGAACCCUGACUUUUAGAAUCCCGGGCUUUAGAACACUGAGUUUCUUUAGCAGUAUCUCUUGCAGAGGUGCUGAUGCCUGUGCACUGUGUCUGUGCUCCACAAAUGAGAGGUCUGCAUGCAGUCUGCUGGGAAACAGAGUUUCACACAUGACCCUCCCCAGGGUCAAAGGUCACCAAGCAAUUAGUGUGGCCUCCCACCACACUGUCAGACAAGGCGCGGUUUUAUUGAACUAAAUUAGAAUAACAUGACAGUGGACGACUGAGGGCAAUUAAAACUAAUGGGAAAUAAAGGACAUCACUGUGGAACAUAGUUUUUGGGAAGAAAUUAAUGGAUGGACACAGGCAAGUGUGACAAACACACAUUAUUUCACUUCCACAGAUUAUCUGCAUUGACUUCAAUCAAAGCUCUGCUGCAGAGAGAGCACUUACCACAUCUGACAAGACAGAUCACAGAUCCAAAUUAGGGUUUAGGAUAAAUGAAAAUGUUUUUUUUCUCCACCAAUCAUAAAUACAGUAUGCUCUGAUAUUGAUUUAUAUUGUUCAAACCUAAAUAAUCUCGUCAUAUCUUCAUAAAAAUAAGUCGCAGCAGCAAUCAUCCAUUCUGCUACUGAAUCACAGAUUUUAUAUGGCUCCAUAUAAAACAGUGGCACACCACGCAGCAAUGCACGCUGUGACAGUGGUUCAAAGCGGUUGCAGGUUUAACUCCCAGGUGUCAUGGUACCAUUGAGCAGGGUGCUUCACCUGAGUCACUUAAGUGAAAUAUCCAGGUGAAUAUUUGGCGGUACUUGGUAUGGUGAUUUUCACAUUGCCAUGGAUGAUAGUAUCUGUUAAUCAAAUAUUACACAAACACGAAGUGUUGAUUAAAUCACAUUGGGUUCAUGGACCAGGGUUUGCUGUGUUUGUGGUCAUCAAUACCGUCUCUCAAAAGUGCUGAAAGGAACCUGACAUCUAUUAAACUU